This is a small nuclear RNA of Vulpes vulpes (red fox), 107 nucleotides long. NCBI's taxonomy places the organism in Eukaryota, Metazoa, Chordata, Mammalia, Carnivora, Canidae. The record is from Ensembl.
CUGCUCACUUUGGCAGCACAUAUACUAAAACUGGAAUGAUACAGAGAAGAUAAGCAUGGCCCCUGCACAAGGAUGACAUGCAAAUUCGUGAAGCAUUCCAUAUUUUU